Molecule: small nuclear RNA, 314 nt
Filed under: Erinaceus europaeus (western European hedgehog)
Lineage: Eukaryota; Metazoa; Chordata; Mammalia; Eulipotyphla; Erinaceidae
Description: 7SK RNA
Rfam family: 7SK RNA
About the family: 7SK was discovered as an abundant small nuclear RNA in the mid-70s but a possible function has only recently been suggested.
Source: Rfam by way of RNAcentral
AGAUGUGAGGGCUAUCUGACUACAACAUGUCACCCCAUUGAUCAUUAGGGUUGGUUUUUCCAUAUGUGGUUGGCCAGGCAAGUGUCCCCUUCCUCCCCCACUGUUCCGUGUCCCUCCUGAAUCCACAAGCUGGUUGAAGAGAACAGACUUCCCUAAGCAGUAACUGACUAUUCUUUAGUUGAAGAAACACAAGUAGAUGUGCUCCCCUGUGAGAAUCACCUAACAAGUUUUCAAGAAAAAAAAAAACAACAAAAAACUAGAGUUGGGAAAUUUGUUAGUAUGUUUCAAAGAAGAGAAAAUGUAGAUCUCAUUUU